Cordylochernes scorpioides is the source of this 74-nucleotide non-coding RNA. NCBI's taxonomy places the organism in Eukaryota, Metazoa, Arthropoda, Arachnida, Pseudoscorpiones, Chernetidae. The record is from the annotation of a GenBank genome assembly.
UGUUAAGGGAUGGGAAUGAACCCACGACCUUCCGCUUACCGGGCAGAUGCCAUGACCACUAGGCUACCCUGGAC